This 253-nucleotide ribosomal RNA is filed under the name uncultured bacterium. Its description in RNAcentral is "partial 16S ribosomal RNA". It matches the Rfam family "Bacterial small subunit ribosomal RNA", at positions 524 to 776 of the family's 1533-position model. The record is from RNAcentral.
UACAGAGGGGGCAAGCGUUGUCCGGAAUCACUGGGCGUAAAGGGCGCGUAGGCGGCCUGGUAAGUAGGGGGUGAAAUCCUGCGGCUUAACCGCAGGGCUGCCUUCUAAACUGUCAGGCUUGAGCACGGUAGAGGCAGAUGGAAUUCCCGGUGUAGCGGUGGAAUGCGUAGAGAUCGGGAAGAACAUCAGUGGCGAAGGCGGUCUGCUGGGCCGUUGCUGACGCUGAGGCGCGACAGCGUGGGGAGCAAACAGG